GAAAGCAGGGGAUCGCAAGACCUUGCGCUUUUGGAGUGGCCGAUGCCUGAUUAGCUAGUUGGUGGGGUAAUGGCCUACCAAGGCGACGAUCAGUAGUUGGUCUGAGAGGACGACCAGCCACACUGGGACUGAGACACGGCCCAGACUCCUACGGGAGGCAGCAGUGGGGAAUUUUGGACAAUGGGCGAAAGCCUGAUCCAGCAAUGCCGCGUGAGUGAAGAAGGCCUUCGGGUUGUAAAGCUCUUUCAGUCGAGAAGAAAAGGUUGUGACUAAUAAUCACAGCUCAUGACGGUAUCGACAGAAGAAGCACCGGCUAACUACGUGCCAGCAGCCGCGGUAAUACGUAGGGUGCGAGCGUUAAUCGGAAUUACUGGGCGUAAAGGGUGUGCAGGCGGCUUUGUAAGUCAG
This 408-nucleotide ribosomal RNA is filed under the name uncultured ammonia-oxidizing beta proteobacterium. Its description in RNAcentral is "bacterial SSU rRNA". It matches the Rfam family "Bacterial small subunit ribosomal RNA", at positions 202 to 591 of the family's 1533-position model. The record is from RNAcentral. Lineage: Bacteria; Pseudomonadati; Pseudomonadota; Betaproteobacteria.